Molecule: long non-coding RNA, 461 nt
Filed under: Oryza brachyantha (malo sina)
Lineage: Eukaryota; Viridiplantae; Streptophyta; Magnoliopsida; Poales; Poaceae
Description: long non-coding RNA (OBRA_LNC000166)
Source: RNAcentral
GGUUAGAAUCACAUGCCCCCUUCUACUUUAUUUGAGUUAGGCAGAGAUUGACAUUUAUUUGAGUUAGGCAGAGAUUGACAUUGGUAGUAAUAUGUGUAUUAUAAUAACACCGAGAAUAUUUUCUCUCGUAGAUUGUUUAAGUCCCUCCGGUAGAAAAAUGCUUCAACGAUAACAUAGUAGCUAGCUAAGCAUAUUAAUUUGUCACAACUAAUGCAUGCGAGCGUUAAGCAUAUUAAUUUGUGCGAGCGAGUUCUCGCGGAGCAGUUAAAUCUGGUAGUCGAUCACACCUAAUGCAUGCGAGCGUGAAGCCGAGCUCAGUUGGAGAUGCAAAACUGAGUGAUCAAUGAAAACCGAUCGACGCCAAGUGUGUCGGCGAGCCAUCGACUAAUAUUCCUAAUACGCCUCAAUCCCAAUCUCACUGCGAAGUCACUCAAGGUAUUCGCCAUCAUGUUUGCCUCUUG